GAUGAACGCUGGCGGCGUGCCUAAUACAUGCAAGUCGAGCGGAAGGACGCGACGCUUGCUUCUCUGAUGUUAGCGGCGGACGGGAGAGUAACACGUGGAUAACCUACUUAUAAGACUGGGAUAACUUCGGGAAACCGUAGCUAAUACCGGAGAAUAUUUUGAACCGCGUGGUGGAAUAGUGAAAGUCGGUCUUUGUGGCUCUAAUAGAUGGAUCCCGGCUGCAUUAGCUGGUUGUGAAGGUCAAGGCUUACGAAGGCAACGAUGCAUAGCCGACCUGAGAGGGUGGUCGGCCGCCCUGGAGCUGAACCACGGUCCAGACUCCUACGAGACGCAGCAGUAGGCAACGUUCCGCAGUGGGCGGAAGCCUGACGGAGCGAGGGGGCGUGAGUGAUAGAGGCCUUCGGAUCGUAAAACUCUGUUACUAGGGAAGAACAUAUGUGUAAGUAACUGUGCACAUCUUGACGGUACCUAAUCAGAAAGCAACGGCUAACUACGUG
RNAcentral lists this ribosomal RNA (497 nucleotides) under uncultured bacterium. RNAcentral's name for it is "partial 16S ribosomal RNA". It matches the Rfam family "Bacterial small subunit ribosomal RNA", at positions 28 to 507 of the family's 1533-position model. The record is from RNAcentral.